GAUGAAGAACGUAGUGAAAUGCGAUACGUAAUGUGAAUUGCAGAUUUCAGUGAAUCAUCGAAUCUUUGAACGCACAUUGCGCCCGCCAGUAUUCUGGCGGGCAUGCCUGUUCGAGCGUCAUUACAACCCUCAGGCCCCCGGGCCUGGCGUUGGGGAUCGGCGGAGCCCCCCGUGGGCACACGCCGUCCCCCAAAUACAGUGGCGGUCCCGCCGCAGCUUCCAUCGCGUAGUAGCUAACACCUCGCGACUGGAGAGCGGCGCGGCCACGCCGUAAAACACCCAACUCUUCUGAAGUUGACCUCGAAUCAGGUAGGAAUACCCGCUGAACUUAAGCAUAUCAAUAAGCGGAGGA
Molecule: unclassified non-coding RNA, 352 nt
Filed under: soil metagenome
Description: partial contains 5.8S ribosomal RNA, internal transcribed spacer 2, and large subunit ribosomal RNA
Rfam family: 5.8S ribosomal RNA (bases 1-120)
Source: RNAcentral